AAAGAAUAUAUUCUGUGGCUGGAGAGGAGGGCUAGUUAUCACCAAUGUGUGCAAGAUUGGUGAGUGUGUCUGACAGUGUUCAUAGAUUUAAUUACAAAAAGAUUCAUGGUUAGCUGAGCUCAGGUAAAUAACAGUUUGACUACAUUAUGUACAGAUACAAAUGAUGUCCUAAAGAGGUUGUGUAAUAAUGCACGUGACACCUCUUUUGACCAGUGUUACUUAAUGUCAGUUGAUGAGUGUUUCAGUAUUUCUAUGCCUGGCAGGUUCUUCUUUUUAUUUCUAACUAAGUGUCUUGCUCUGUGCUGUUAUUUCUGAAUCAGUAGGAAGUUGUAGGGGUAUGAGAAACAUUAGACACCCUAAGGGAGAUGAAGGUCAAAUGAAAUUUUAAUGUUUUGUAUUUCUUCAUCCUAAAGAUGCUAUCUAUUUAUCUGGUCUAUCUUUACAUCUUUCUUUUUUCUUCUUGUUUGGAAAGGUGUCAAAGGGCACAUCCUCCAAUCCCUGGCUUGAGACCAGUUUGCGUGACAGGCCCUGCUGACAGGUGGAGGGUUGAGGACAGUGCCUGGUGGCUUGGGCUCUGCUCACUGUUCUACUGGCAUCACGAAUGCAUGUGGCUCGACUCUGGGAAUCUUGGAGCAACGCAGACGGCAAGUUCACAAUAGGUGUUUGCCCUUCAAUAGGCCAGAACUAAAACUUUAUCCCCUUCACAGUGGGGCCUCCUAAUUAGAUAUAAAUAAAUCCAUCAAGCAAAAAUCAAAUCCUUCCCUUUCCAUUCAUUUUUUUUUCCUUUGGCAUUUCAACCCAUAAUCUAAUAUAUGGGGAAGAGAAGGCACUGUAGAGGUUGAAUGACCUGGGCUAGGGAGGUAGGUGAGAAAUGCCUCCUUUCUCAGACCAGCACCUGACUCGCAGUUUGGGGGCCUGGGUGGGGAAGGAGGAGGAAAGACAGGGAGCAUGGUGUGAACCAGGAGCCUGCCCAGUGCCCAGACCAAAAGGGAAGGGGCUGAACAUUGAGAGGACUUGAAAUUAACAGAGCUUUACCAGCCAGUCAAUAGGUCCUGGCUGCAGGAAGCUGAAGCUGCUAAUGGCUCUGUUUUUUUCUCCUUCUACAGCCACGGUGGUUCCCCCUGUGGAGUUCCCUUCAAUGCGAGACAGAGACCAUUUUACUGACUGCGAAAAUUCAAUUAGAGUCUUAUGUCAGGGUGGGGAGAACUUAUGCGAAGCCCAACAUUCUGGUGGCUCUCUUUUUGAUCUGCUUUACCGUGGUACCUUCACAGGAAAAAAUAUACCAACUUGGACAGCCAUCCUCAGGGGCCUGCUGUUGAAAUAUUUCCUGAAUGUUCACAAAUUUCCUGGAUGUUCAAAACAUGUUGAAUUCUACUCUCACAGAACCUCCAGUAGCCCACGAAUUGGUCUGAAGGCCCUUGCUGGAUGAACCAGAAGUGGGUCCUCUCUACCUAGCUACAUCGAGGCUCCCCAGUCUUACUGAGAAUGAGGCCCAGAACACAAGAGUUUGUAUGGUUCUUGCUGACGUACAAUAGAUUUCAGGGGUUGGGGAACUGAGGACAUCAUCUCAAAAGUACCACAAUUGAUGAGUAGCCCUAUGAAAUGCUUUUGUGUUAAAGCCUGUUUAGGAAAUAGAAUGGGGACAUGAGCAGGUAUGAUAUACCUGUGUCCACCUGCUUACACCUGCUGGGAGGGGACAGCAGCACACACCUGGAAGCAUGGAGUGGCUUGCCGUCCAAGCUGACCAGAACGCAGGGCCUGUGCUGGAGUCCUGGGCCUGCUGCUGACCUACAGGGUCUUGGCCCAGCCACACUGGGCACCUCAGCUCCUCUGUCUGCCCCAUGUGAUGCCCCUACUUCAUUCAGUCCAUAAGCACUCACCAAGGCAGGUGCGGUGCGGGACACUGGACAGUGACAGAUGAAUAACAUAGGUCUUGGCCCCCCGAGCCCAUGAGCUACCAGAGAUAAUAAGCAUCCUCACUGAGGCCACUGCUGGGUUUAUGGAUGCAGAUGGCUGCCAGGGCCCUCCUGAGGUAGGAGGCACCCAGCUGCCCUGGUAAGAAAUACAGGACUGUCUUAUCAAAAUAACCCUCCUGUGUUCACUCUUUCAUCAAGGACUUGAGUCUGUGACCUCAAAGGCAUGAGGUGGCCUUGGGGCAUUCUGUGGGGCUCCAUGUUGGUCUCUGAGCUCUUACAAAGGCCAGCUUGACCCCCAACCCUAGGAGGCACUCUUGGCUGGGUUCUCCUUCCCACCUGGCUCCAGGCUGAGGCCGUCCAUUGCCAGUGUCCAGGGCUGCUGGCUGAGCAGGACACUGCUGCACUGGGCCUGGCACGCACCUCCUCUGUGCAGAGAUCGAGUUGCUCUGGAGA
This 2369-nucleotide long non-coding RNA is filed under the name Homo sapiens (human). RNAcentral describes it as "HSALNT0038836". Lineage: Eukaryota; Metazoa; Chordata; Mammalia; Primates; Hominidae. The record is from RNAcentral.